AACGAACGCUGGCGGCAUGCCUAACACAUGCAAGUCGAACGAUCCCUUCGGGGAUAGUGGCGCACGGGUGCGUAACGCGUGGGAACCUGCCCUUAGGUUCGGAAUAACUCAGAGAAAUUUGAGCCAAUACCGGAUAAUGUCUUCGGACCAAAGAUUUAUCGCCUUUGGAUGGGCCCGCGUUGGAUUAGCUAGUUGGUGGGGUAAAGGCCUACCAAGGCGACGAUCCAUAGCUGGUCUGAGAGGAUGAUCAGCCACACUGGGACUGAGACACGGCCCAGACUCCUACGGGAGGCAGCAGUGGGGAAUAUUGGACAAUGGGCGAAAGCCUGAUCCAGCAAUGCCGCGUGAGUGAUGAAGGCCUUAGGGUUGUAAAGCUCUUUUACCCGGGAUGAUAAUGACAGUACCGGGAGAAUAAGCCCCGGCUAACUCCGUG
Molecule: ribosomal RNA, 433 nt
Filed under: uncultured bacterium
Lineage: Bacteria
Description: partial 16S ribosomal RNA
Rfam family: Bacterial small subunit ribosomal RNA
Source: RNAcentral